AGUUUUUACAGUAUAAUUAAACCCAAAACUGUCAAAAGCAAUUGACACUCCGCAAGUUGUGUUGUGUUGUGUUGUGUUGUGUUGUUGUUGUGUAUCAGUUCACGUGUCAAUCAGCUGUAGCGCAUUGUAUGUUGGACAAACACGCCGACACAUUCACACACGUAUCUCAGAGCAUUUGGGAGUCUCGCCUUUGACUGGAAAAGAACGCUCUAUAUCUCAACCAUGUCUAGUAUACUCGCUCACAAACACAUGCACAAACACCCAGUCUCCGCUUCUGAUUUCAAAAUUCUAUCAUCAGGC
This is a non-coding RNA of Paramuricea clavata, 300 nucleotides long. The record is from the annotation of a GenBank genome assembly. NCBI's taxonomy places the organism in Eukaryota, Metazoa, Cnidaria, Anthozoa, Malacalcyonacea, Plexauridae.